RNAcentral lists this ribosomal RNA (231 nucleotides) under Salmonella enterica subsp. enterica serovar Paratyphi B. RNAcentral's name for it is "partial 23S ribosomal RNA". It matches the Rfam family "Bacterial large subunit ribosomal RNA", at positions 1 to 223 of the family's 2925-position model. The record is from RNAcentral. Lineage: Bacteria; Pseudomonadati; Pseudomonadota; Gammaproteobacteria; Enterobacterales; Enterobacteriaceae.
GGGUUGUGAGGUUAAGCGACUAAGCGUACACGGUGGAUGCCCUGGCAGUCAGAGGCGAUGAAGGGCGUGCUAAUCUGCGAUAAGCGCCGGUAAGGUGAUAUGAACCGUUAUAACCGGCGAUACCCGAAUGGGGAAACCCAGUGUGAUUCGUCACACUAUCAUUAACUGAAUUCAUAGGUUAAUGAGGCGAACCGGGGGAACUGAAACAUCUAAGUACCCCGAGGAAAAGAA